ACAGCAGUAGCCGCGGGAAUACGUAGGUGGCAAGCGUUGUCCGGAAUUAUUGGGCGUAAAGGGCUCGCAGGCGGUUUCUUAAGUCUGAUGUGAAAGCCCCCGGCUCAACCGGGGAGGGUCAUUGGAAACUGGGAAACUUGAGUGCAGAAGAGGAGAGUGGAAUUCCACGUGUAGCGGUGAAAUGCGUAGAGAUGUGGAGGAACACCAGUGGCGAAGGCGACUCUCUGGUCUGUAACUGACGCUGAGGAGCGAAAGCGUGGGGAGCGAACAGGAUUAGAUACCCCUGUAGUCCCUGUCUCUUAUAU
Molecule: ribosomal RNA, 305 nt
Filed under: uncultured bacterium
Lineage: Bacteria
Description: partial 16S ribosomal RNA
Rfam family: Bacterial small subunit ribosomal RNA
Source: RNAcentral